AUGGCUCAGGAUGAACGCUAGCGACAGGCUUAACACAUGCAAGUCGAGGGCAGCAUAGAAGUAGCAAUACUUGGUGGCGACCGGCGCACGGGUGAGUAACGCGUAUGCAACCUACCUAUCAGAGGGGAAUAACCCGGCGAAAGUCGGACUAAUACCGCAUAAAACAGGGGCACCGCAUGGUGAUAUUUGUUAAAGAAAUUCGCUGAUAGAUGGGCAUGCGUUCCAUUAGGUAGUUGGUGAGGUAACGGCUCACCAAGCCGACGAUGGAUAGGGGAACUGAGAGGUUGGUCCCCCACACUGGUACUGAGACACGGACCAGACUCCUACGGGAGGCAGCAGUGAGGAAUAUUGGUCAAUGGGCGGGAGCCUGAACCAGCCAAGUCGCGUGAAGGAAAGAAGGAUCUAUGGUUCGUAAACUUCUUUUGCAGGGGAAUAAAGUGCAGGACGUGUCCUGUUUUGUAUGUACCCUGAGAAUAAGGAUCGGCUAACUCCGUGCCAGCAGCUGC
This 506-nucleotide ribosomal RNA is filed under the name uncultured bacterium. Its description in RNAcentral is "bacterial SSU rRNA". It matches the Rfam family "Bacterial small subunit ribosomal RNA", at positions 19 to 518 of the family's 1533-position model. The record is from RNAcentral.